CGCCGUCAAGUCUCUCAAGCUCUCCGUCUCUGAUCUUCCCAUGCUCUCCUGCCACUACAUCCAGAAGGGCGUCCUCCUCGACUCCCCGCCCUUCUCCGUCGUCGACCUCCUCCCCUCCCUCAAACACUCCCUCUCCCUCGCCCUCUCCCACUUCCCAGCCCUGGCCGGUCGAUUCGAGACGGACGCAGACGGUCACGUCCACAUUGUCUGUAACGACACCGGCGUCGGUUUCGUGCACGCCAAAGCCAAGAACCUCUCUCUGGACGCCGUCCUGCAGCCCAACGCCGACGUUCCACAUUGCUUCAGGGAGUUCUUCGCGUAUCAAAGGACUUUGAGCUACUCCGGCCACUUCAGACCUCUAGCCGCCGUACAGGUCACCGAGCUCGCCGACGCCGUGUUCAUCGGAUGUACGGUCAACCACUCCGUCCUUGACGGCACAUCCUUCUGGCACUUCUUCAACACCUUCGCCGAGAUUAACCGAGGCGCCAAGAAAAUAUCAAAAUCUCCUGAUUUUUCCCGCGACACCGUCUUCAACUCGCCGGCGGUGCUCCAUUUCCCAGAAGGAGGCCC
Molecule: long non-coding RNA, 570 nt
Filed under: Malus domestica (apple)
Lineage: Eukaryota; Viridiplantae; Streptophyta; Magnoliopsida; Rosales; Rosaceae
Description: long non-coding RNA (MDOM_LNC011549)
Source: RNAcentral